GGGUUUGCCCAGCUCCAGCCGUCCUGUGGCAUGGAGGUGGGCCUGAAUCAGCCAUUUAGGAGCCUUGCUUGCAGGGAUGUGUGGCAGGACUGUCUGUGCAGGCUAUGCAAAGCUGGCUGUCUGCCUCAGGUGUUUUUCUCUAGGGCACCCUUAUGCAGUCAAGCUGUUCACAAAGCACCUGUGGUGGAACAUGCCAGAAAAGCCCGUGUUUUGCAAGUGCAGGUGGCCUGAAGAUAGCUGUUACAGCUGGGUAUGCACUUAGUGGGGCAGGCUGUGAGCUCAGGUGCUGUGUCCUGGCUAUUGCAGGCUUGAGACAUAAAGAAGUGAGGCAGGAAACAGGUGAGCCAGGAGCACUUCGGGCCAUGACCAUGAGAUGAGACAUCUUUCUGGUGAACCCUGAAGUGGGAGAAUGGUCAUUAACAAACACGUUAGGGUCAGAACUACUGAAGGGCAUCUGUGUGGUAGUAGGUGGGGGAACAUGACUUUGGGUCCUGUGCUAAAGAAAAAGCCUUGAGGUUCAAAGUAGCAUAGGAUAUUCAGCUAUCCUCUGUAGACAACAAUGUUUGAUAGUUCUUCUUUGUUUUACUAAAGAUUAGGAUCUGAAAAGGCCUGCUCAUCUUGCAUUUGCCAUAGUAACGUGUUUAUGGAUGGCACCUGUGCAGGUGGAGCAUUGCUAGGGCAGGAAUGCCCAUACCUUUUAUAAGAAGAACUGAGACGCAAGCAACUCAAGCUAGUGCUGCAUCUUUAUCCUUACACACACAUGCACCAUUGAUAUUGGACUUACUGAUGGUUUCUGGGAUCUCUUGUUUGUUAUUUCAAGUGUCACACCACAGUGGAGCGGCACAAAUGGACGGACCCUGGAGAGACACAUUACGCUGGCAUAUCCAACUUGAUUGUGCUCACAGUUUUCCUGAGAGGCAGUGGCUUGCUGACUUGGACUCUUACAGAUGAGAAGAAGUGGAGAGCAGCUCCUUGCGUGGUACAGACUACAGACGAGGAUGGCUGCAGCUGCAGUGCUGGCAGUUCCCAUCUGGAUGAACAGUCUGCUCCCUUGUGCUGGGGGCACAAACUGCAUGUUUGCAGGGUUCAAGGAGCUCACAUGGGCAUCUGAGCCAGAGCCUCAGCUGGGAAAAUUGCUCUUUCAGAAUGGGUCACGUGGGGCAACACCACCCCCUUUUAGGGGCGAUACUCAGCUUCUGGGAAAGCAGCUGCUGAAGUACACUGAAUGCGUGCUGCCAUAGUGCUCAUGUUUAAUGCCUUGUGCUGUUGCAAACUUCAGGCCUGCAGAAACCCCAUUGUUUAUUGAUGGGAGAGGCCCCACCCCAGCUGUAAUUAAAGCCAAACUCAUGUCAUAAAUUUGCUGGCAUCCCAAGUGAAGCUGGUGUUCCCUGAGAAUGAAGGUUAUCUCUUUCUUUUGCUGCUGUUCCUUUGAACUUCCUGUGGUCAGGGAAUCCUAGUGUUUUAAACUAGAAAAACAAUUAUGAAACCAUCCCUGCUCAUCUGGCCAGAGUUCAUGUCUAAUUAAAUUUAACAGGAGUCAUAAUUUUAAGAGUGAUUUCUCAAAAGCUUUAUAACUAAAGACAAUUAAGGCUUGAGAGAGAGAGCGCGAGACAGGGAGGGGAGAAAAACAGAGGCACUCCUUGGGGCAGGGCACUCCAUGAGUAUUAAACAGCCGUGACUCAUUCCUGCCUCUAGUCCCAGCAGAAGAAAUACCUUUUGAAUAGGUUCUGCCUGCUAGAUAAAAACUUGUUUGCUGGUGCAAAAAUCAUACAGUGCAUGUUAGAACAAGAACCUUGAUGGGCUAUUCCCAUUAAAAUAAUUACACAGAAAUGGACUUUUUUUUUCCGAUCUGUUAGUAUAAAUUGGGUGCUUUUUUUUUUUAAUUAUUAUUUUUUAGCUGUGUCAAGGUCUGCAAAAAGAGGGGAGAAAGGGGAAGGAAAUGCAGACCAAAAAAAUGAAUGAAUUAACUCAGUUGUCCUUGUGGAGCAGGAUGUUUUUAUUUUUAUUAUGUAUGAAAUGUAUAGUAGUAUGUAUGGAACAAAUCCAUCAGCCCAUUUGACAGGCAAAACCUGAACUUUUUGAGGACAUGUGAAGCUAGAAAGGAGACUGCAGCAACGUAGAACACCACCAUGGGGGGAACUCUAGCUCUUACUUGUGUAUUUAUUCUAAAGCAGCUCUGUAUGCAGUACUGAAGCCUGACAGGCAUCCUCUGAAUCCAGGGAAUCCCACAGGCUUCUCAGAAGCGAUGAAACAGAGGACAGUGUCUCUACAUGUGAAGGACCCAGCCUUCCAUGAACAUUCAGAAAAUCAGGUUUUAUGACAGAGGAUUGUAGGGAAACCUCCUGCUGGUACUAUGGGGUGAUGUGAGGAUUGUAGAGGAAACAGUGUUUUCACCACAAAAUUGGCUCAGAGCAAGGUAGGUUGGAGCAGUGGUUAAAACGGAGCCAGCCAGCCGACACAGGUGUACCGUCAUUACGGUGUUGGUGGAGACGGGCUGAUGCUACAGCAGCAUUGGAAUGCUUCGAUGGGAGGCCUCAAGGCCUGCUCUGCACCUACGCAGGGUGCUGCAGGCCUGUCGUGCUCCUCGUAAACUCACUCCGGCAGCUGUGUCCACACUGGGGACAUGAGAUCCUUACAGAGGGUGGGGAGGCGGCGGCAGGACGGAUUGCUGACAUCAUGCGUCCCUUCCGUGAUUAUCAUCUGCCAGGCGGAGCGUGCCCACACUGCAGCUGAGGUGCACCUGCAACAGGGGUGGACUCGGCUGGGCUGCUUUCAACGGAGCCAGCUUGGGUGGUAAUGACAGCGUGACGACAGCAGCGCAACAUCAGCACGGAGCUGCCCCAGCCUGCUCGGGACCUUGGAAGCAUAUUUUGGUCACCGACCACGCUAACUCCUUGCUGCUGGAGUUUUGCUGCUCCUGGUAUCUGUUCGGAGCUAACGCACAGCUCCUGAAUGAGCCCACAGCUGGGCAGUCAACCCCAGACAGAGGAUCUAGUAAUGGUCCAGUGCAACCACGUGUGGGCCCUGCCUCUUUCUGGUAGUCAUCUAGCCAGAAAAGAAACACAUGUUCUCCCUUUAAAAUAGGACCAGUUGUGGUAUAUCUGCAGGUUUCUUUGAUCACCUCCUUGCAGUACUGUUUUUUCCCUUCCUGAAAAAUCAAAGGUUUCAGCCAUUCAGUGCUGUAGGUCCUCUGCCUGCUCAGCAGCUUCCCAUGGAGCAGCUUUCCAGCUGCCCUGUAAAAAAAAAAAAAAAAAAAAGCUUCAUCUAUUCUAGAUGAA
Molecule: long non-coding RNA, 3278 nt
Organism: Anas platyrhynchos (mallard)
Lineage: Eukaryota; Metazoa; Chordata; Aves; Anseriformes; Anatidae
Source: RefSeq, a predicted model, not a curated record